Molecule: ribosomal RNA, 51 nt
Filed under: Bipolaris maydis (southern corn leaf blight pathogen)
Lineage: Eukaryota; Fungi; Ascomycota; Dothideomycetes; Pleosporales; Pleosporaceae
Description: partial 28S ribosomal RNA
Source: RNAcentral
UUGACCUCGGAUCAGGUAGGGAUACCCGCUGAACUUAAGCAUAUCAAAGGC